RNAcentral lists this ribosomal RNA (477 nucleotides) under Enterococcus casseliflavus. RNAcentral describes it as "bacterial SSU rRNA". It matches the Rfam family "Bacterial small subunit ribosomal RNA", at positions 28 to 493 of the family's 1533-position model. Lineage: Bacteria; Bacillati; Bacillota; Bacilli; Lactobacillales; Enterococcaceae. The record is from RNAcentral.
GACGAACGCUGGCGGCGUGCCUAAUACAUGCAAGUCGAACGCUUUUUCUUUCACCGGAGCUUGCCCCACCGAAAGAAAAAGAGUGGCGAACGGGUGAGUAACACGUGGGUAACCUGCCCAUCAGAAGGGGAUAACACUUGGAAACAGGUGCUAAUACCGUAUAACACUAUUUUCCGCAUGGAAGAAAGUUGAAAGGCGCUUUUGCGUCACUGAUGGAUGGACCCGCGGUGCAUUAGCUAGUUGGUGAGGUAACGGCUCACCAAGGCAACGAUGCAUAGCCGACCUGAGAGGGUGAUCGGCCACACUGGGACUGAGACACGGCCCAGCGGGUAGGGAAUCUUCGGCAAUGGACGAAAGUCUGACCGAGCAACGCCGCGUGAGUGAAGAAGGUUUUCGGAUCGUAAAACUCUGUUGUUAGAGAAGAACAAGGAUGAGAGUAGAACGUUCAUCCCUUGACGGUAUCUAACCAGAAAGCCC